UGAUUAGGCCAAAAAAAAAAUAUAUGUCUGUUUCCUGUUUCCCGACCGACCCUGACUCAAAGCCCCCGACCCUAGAUCUUUUUAUUCAAUUCCGGAAAAAAAUCGUUUCCGGUCCGGAAAAAUUCGGUUCCGGUCCGAUCCAGAUCCGUAUUUUACUAUACCCAAACAAUCAAAAUGGCUGCUCCCAGCACAAAUGUGCUACAAUUAAGGUUUAAAAAAUGUCGGCACUGGGAGGAUUAUUCAAUUAAAGCUUCUUUAAAGAGAUUAAAUGAUUUUAGGGUACAGGACCCUAACCAAACAUGACUUUUAACCAUCUGCAAAUCUGAC
This 327-nucleotide long non-coding RNA is filed under the name Mytilus galloprovincialis (Mediterranean mussel). Lineage: Eukaryota; Metazoa; Mollusca; Bivalvia; Mytilida; Mytilidae. The record is from RNAcentral.